Molecule: long non-coding RNA, 404 nt
Organism: Megalops cyprinoides (Indo-Pacific tarpon)
Lineage: Eukaryota; Metazoa; Chordata; Actinopteri; Elopiformes; Megalopidae
Exons: 3
Source: RefSeq, a predicted model, not a curated record
UCUCCCUCACAGGUAUGUCGGCAUUAGGGUUCUACACGUCAAACUGGAGUAAACCCUGAAAUCAUCAGCAAGUAACGCAUACACUCGUGAGAUAUUAAAUUCAUCCAGGCCGACACUACACCCCAAGAGGGUCCUGGCACAACCGGAUCGGGUGCAUCAACAGCGGGCAAUGAGCGUAUAUUCCACACUCGGAAAACACGAAGACAACGAUCAGCAAGAAAAGAAUCGUUGGGACGGCGGCCGCUCCCCGGAGUCACACAGAGACUGAAAGACGUGUUCCUUGUCUGUUAGGACCGAUUCCUGUAUUCUCUGCCUCCGCAGAAUCCGCUCCAAUACACCUGUUACCUGCCUCUUCUCUGAGGCCUGUGUGCUGCCGUGCAGCUUCAAACCCUCGCAGAAAGUCC